GGGGAUGAAACGGUUUCGACAGGGAAGUGAGAGGUUGUAAACUGCGAGCCGAGUUGUUCUAACUCGUAAAACUGGAACAAAACAUUAAUUGCCGAAAAAGUACCUGCUUUCGGUCGCUCCUUUAACGCCCUGCCCCUCGCGGCAUAAGCGUUUUAGCAGCACCCCUGGCUCCACAACGCGAGUCACGCUGACGCCAACAUUUUUCCCCGAGAGUGUAGCGCCGGCGUCAUAAAAAUCGGGGUGCGUUGAGGUGAUGUCGAUAAGCCUCAACCAAGACCUAUCGGCUGGUUUGGGUGGCCUUUGGUGACUAACAAAGCCCAAACGACAAUCUGAAGUUCACCUACGCUCGUAGACGUUUACCGCCAGCUUCUUUGGACGCCGGUUCGACUCCGGCCAUCUCCACCU
RNAcentral lists this transfer-messenger RNA (405 nucleotides) under Anaerolineae. RNAcentral describes it as "J095 sp003695455 Standard tmRNA". It matches the Rfam family "transfer-messenger RNA". From Rfam's summary of the family: Bacterial tmRNA, also known as 10Sa RNA or SsrA, is named for its dual tRNA and mRNA-like properties. Its role is to liberate the mRNA from a stalled ribosome. To accomplish this part of the tmRNA is used as a reading frame that ends in a translation stop signal. Lineage: Bacteria; Bacillati; Chloroflexota. RNAcentral also lists the same sequence under 1 other name. The record is from RNAcentral.